Molecule: ribosomal RNA, 2929 nt
Filed under: Chthonomonadales bacterium
Lineage: Bacteria; Bacillati; Armatimonadota; Chthonomonadia; Chthonomonadales
Description: 23S ribosomal RNA
Rfam family: Bacterial large subunit ribosomal RNA
Source: RNAcentral
GACAAGCUACAAAGGGCGUCUGGUGGAUGCCUUGGGGCAAAGUGCCGAAGAAGGACGCGAUUAGCGGCGAUACGCCCAGGGGAGCGGCAACAACGCUACGAUCCUGGGGUUUCCGAAUGGGGUAACCUGGCCGCCGUAACGGGCGGUCACCGUAUGGUGAACACAUAGUCAUACGGAGGGCACCCGGGGAACUGAAACAUCUUAGUACCCGGAGGAAAAGAAAGCAUAUGCGAUUCCCCUAGUAGUGGCGAGCGAACGGGGAACAGCCUAAACCGCUGCGGCAUGCCGUGGCGGGGUUGCGGGGCCAGCGUUAUGGCACAGCGUGAGGGGCUUCGAAGCGGCCUGGAAAGGCCCACCACAGCGGGUGAUAGUCCCGUAGGAGUUCUGAUCGUUGGUCUAGCUGGUACCCAAGUACCGCGGGGCACGGGAAACCUUGCGGGAAUCUGGGAGGACCACCUCCUAAGGCUAAAUACACUUUGCCACCGAUAGUGAAGCAGUACCGUGAGGGAAAGGUGAAAAGCCCCCCGGGAGGGGAGUGAAAUAGAACCUGAAACCAGAGCGCCUACAAACAGUCAGAGUCCCGGCUUGCCGGGAUGAUGGCGUGCCUUUUGCAGAAUGAACCGGCGAGUUGUUGUUGGUCGUAGGUUAAGCCCUUCAGGGGUGUAGCCAGAGCGAAAGCGAGUGCGAAUAGCGCGUUACAUGGCCAGCAUCAGACCCGAAACCGCGUGAUCUACCCAUGGUCAGGGGGAAGCGUGGGUAACUCCCAUGUGGACGCCCGAACCAGUGUCGGUUGAAAACGGCUUGGAUGAACUGUGGGUAGGGGUGAAAUGCCAAUCGAACGCGGAGAUAGCUGGUUCUCCCCGAAAUGCAUUGAGGUGCAGCGUCGUCUGUUUAGUUCUGCCGGUAGAGCCACUGGAUGGCCUAGGGGCCUUACCCGGUUACCAAAGUCAACCAAACUCCGAAUGGCAGAACUUUAUAGGGCGGCAGUGAGACGGCCGGGGAUAAGCUUGGUCGUCGAGAGGGAAACAGCCCAGACCGCCUGCUAAGGUCCCAAAGUACAGGCUAAGUGUAAAAGGAUGUGGGGGUGCAUAGACAACCAGGAUGUUGGCUUAGAAGCAGCCAUCAUUGAAAAAAAGCGUAACAGCUUACUGGUCGAGUGUCCCUGCGCCGAUAAUGUAAGGGGGCUCAUGCCUGUCACCGAAGCAGCGGAUCUGCUAAGACCUUCGGGUCUUGGCCGAUGGUAGGGGAGUGUUCGCGAUGCAGAGAAGCCGCGAGCGUAAGCUCGGGUGGAGCGUCGUGAAGUAAGAAUGCCGGUAUGAGUAGCGAGAAGACGGGUGAGAAUCCCGUCCGCCGAAAGCCUAAGGGUUCUUAAGGAAGGUUCGUCCUCUUGAGUUUAGCCGGUCCUAAGGCGAGGCCAAUUGGCGUAGUCGAUGGCUGUCCGGUCGAUAUUCCGGAGCCAGUUGUAGUCGUUGAGCACGUGGGGACGCGGUAGAAGUUUCGGUCACGGAGCUGGUUCCGUGUUCCGGGGAUGGCCCGUGGAAGUAGGCAAAUCCGCUUCCGUAAACGGGUGGCCUCGGACGAGUGAAACCUUCGGGGGAAGCGAAGCCGGGAUGGAUAUCGCCACGAAAAGCCGCGUGGGAGGCUGCAUCUGACCGUACCGCAAACCGACACAGGUAGGCAGGUAGAGGAUACUAAGGCGUUCGAGAUAACUCUCGUUAAGGAACUAGGCAAGUUGACCCCGUAACUUCGGGAUAAGGGGUGCCCUCGGAGGUGUACGGAGUAAGCGCCGUAUGCGUCUGGGGGUCGCAGUGAAGCGGCUUGAGCGACUGUUUACCAAAAACACAGGUCUCUGCGAAGCCGAAAGGCGACGUAUAGGGGCUGACACCUGCCCAAUGCCAGAAGGUUAACAGGAGAGGUCAUCCCUUCGGGGGGCAGCCUUGAAUCGAAGCCCUGGUGAAUGGCGGCCGUAACUAUAACGGUCCUAAGGUAGCGAAAUUCCUUGUCGGGUAAGUUCCGACCCGCACGAAUGGUGUAACGACUUGAGCGCUGUCUCAACGAGAGACUCGGUGAAGUUGUAGUAUGCGUGAAGAUGCGCAUUACCCGCCGCAGGACGGAAAGACCCCGUGGAGCUUUACUACAACCUGUCAUUGUGUUUUGGAUACGCUUGCAGAGCGUAGGUGGGAGACUUCGGUCGCCAAUGGAACACCACCCUGGCGUAUCUGGAAUACUAACCGUGACCCUUAUCGGGUUAUCGGGACCGUGGCAGGCGGGUAGUUUGACUGGGGCGGUCGCCUCCCAAAAGGUAACGGAGGCGCCCCAAGGUACCCUCAGGCUGGUUGGAAAUCAGCUGGUGCGUGCAAGGGCAUAAGGGUGCUUGACUGUGCGACCGACAGGUCCAGCAGGGACGAAAGUCGGGCCUAGUGAUCCUCUGGCUACAUGUGGAUGUGCCAGGGCUCAUCGGAUAAAAGCUACCCCGGGGAUAACAGGCUUAUCUUGCCCAAGCGCUCACAGCGACGGCAAGGUUUGGCACCUCGAUGUCGGCUCGUCGCAUCCUGGGGCUGGAUUAGGUCCCAAGGGUUAGGCUGUCCGCCUAUUAAAGCGGUACGCGAGCUGGGUUCAGAACGUCGUGAGACAGUUCGGUCCCUAUCCGCGGUGGGCGUAGGAGUCUUGAGGAGGGCUGUCCCCAGUACGAGAGGACCGGGAUGGAUCGACCCCUGGUGUACCGGUUGUGCCGCCAGGCGCAGAUGCCGGGUAGCUAUGUCGACUAGCGAUAAGCGCUGAAAGCAUCUAAGUGCGAAGCGCGCUCCAAGAUGAGGACUCCCACAGGGUUAACCUGGUAAGGUUGCAGGAAGAUAACCUGCUCAAUGGGCGGCAAGUGUAAAGACAGCAAUGUCAAAGCUAAGCCGUUCCAAUCAACCGAGGGCUUGUC